RNAcentral lists this ribosomal RNA (399 nucleotides) under uncultured bacterium. RNAcentral's name for it is "bacterial SSU rRNA". It matches the Rfam family "Bacterial small subunit ribosomal RNA", at positions 28 to 422 of the family's 1533-position model. The record is from RNAcentral.
GAUGAACGCUAGCGGCAGGCUUAAUACAUGCAAGUCGAGGGGCAGCAGGGUGUAGCAAUACAUCGCUGGCGACCGGCAAACGGGUGCGGAACACGUACACAACUUUCCUUUAAGUGGGGGAUAGCCCAGAGAAAUUUGGAUUAAUACCCCGUAAUAUUAUGAAGUGGCAUCAUUUUAUAAUUAUAGCUCCGGCGCUUGAAGAUGGGUGUGCGACUGAUUAGGAGUUGGCGGGGUAACGGCCCACCAAGCCUACGAUCAGUAACUGGUGUGAGAGCACGACCAGUCACACGGGCACUGAGACACGGGCCCGACUCCGUACGGGAGGCAGCAGGUAAGGAAUAUUGGCAAUGGACGCAAGUCUGAACCAGCCAUGCCGCGUGAAGGAUGAAGGUCCUCUGG